RNAcentral lists this ribosomal RNA (251 nucleotides) under uncultured bacterium. Its description in RNAcentral is "partial 16S ribosomal RNA". It matches the Rfam family "Bacterial small subunit ribosomal RNA", at positions 524 to 776 of the family's 1533-position model. The record is from RNAcentral.
UACGAAGGGUGCAAGCGUUACUCGGAAUUACUGGGCGUAAAGCGUGCGUAGGUGGUUUGUUAAGUCUGAUGUGAAAGCCCUAGGCUCAACCUGGGAAUUGCAUUGGAUACUGGCAGGCUAGAGUGCGGUAGAGGAUGGCGGAAUUCCCGGUGUAGCAGUGAAAUGCGUAGAGAUCGGGAGGAACAUCUGUGGCGAAGGCGGCCAUCUGGACCAGCACUGACACUGAGGCACGAAAGCGUGGGAGCAACAGG